UGAGUUCGCCGGACAGUCGCCGCUGCGCUUGCGCAGGGGAGGAAAGUCCGGGCUCCACAGGGCGGAGUGCCAGAUAACGUCUGGGCGGCGCAAGCCGACGGCCAGUGCAACAGAGAGUAGACCGCCUAAGUAUCUUCGGAUGCCGGUAAGGGUGAAAGGGUGCGGUAAGAGCGCACCGCGUGGGUGGCAACAUUCCACGGCACGGUAAACCCCACUCGGAGCAAGACCAAAUAGGGACCCAUCAGGCGCGGCCCGCGCUGGGUCCGGGUAGGUCGCUAAAGGUGUAUGGUGACAUGCACCGUAGAUGAAUGACUGUCCUCGACAGAACCCGGCUUACAGGCGAGCUCAUCCA
RNAcentral lists this RNase P RNA (352 nucleotides) under Marinobacterium rhizophilum. RNAcentral's name for it is "RNase P RNA component class A". It matches the Rfam family "Bacterial RNase P class A". From Rfam's summary of the family: Ribonuclease P (RNase P) is a ubiquitous endoribonuclease, found in archaea, bacteria and eukarya as well as chloroplasts and mitochondria. Its best characterised activity is the generation of mature 5'-ends of tRNAs by cleaving the 5'-leader elements of precursor-tRNAs. Cellular RNase Ps are ribonucleoproteins. Lineage: Bacteria; Pseudomonadati; Pseudomonadota; Gammaproteobacteria; Oceanospirillales; Oceanospirillaceae. The record is from RNAcentral.